RNAcentral lists this ribosomal RNA (254 nucleotides) under uncultured bacterium. Its description in RNAcentral is "partial 16S ribosomal RNA". It matches the Rfam family "Bacterial small subunit ribosomal RNA", at positions 524 to 777 of the family's 1533-position model. The record is from RNAcentral.
UACGUAGGGGGCAAGCGUUGUCCGGAAUCAUUGGGCGUAAAGAGCGUGUAGGCGGCUCGAUAAGUCUGCUGUGAAAGUCCAGGGCUCAACCCUGGAAGGCCGGUGGAAACUGUCGGGCUAGAGUCCGGAAGAGGCGAGUGGAAUUCCCGGUGUAGCGGUGAAAUGCGCAGAUAUCUGGAGGAACACCGGUGGCGAAGGCGGCAUCCUGGACCGGCAUUGACGCUGAGGCGCGAAAGCCAGGGGAGCAAAGCGGG